AGUGAACGCUGGCGGUAGGCCUAACACAUGCAAGUCGAACGGCAGCACAGUAAGAGCUUGCUCUUACGGGUGGCGAGUGGCGGACGGGUGAGGAAUACAUCGGAAUCUACUUUUUCGUGGGGGAUAACGUAGGGAAACUUACGCUAAUACCGCAUACGACCUACGGGUGAAAGCAGGGGAUCUUCGGACCUUGCGCGAUUGAAUGAGCCGAUGUCGGAUUAGCUAGUUGGCGGGGUAAAGGCCCACCAAGGCGACGAUCCGUAGCCGGUCUGAGAGGAUGAUCAGCCACACUGGAACUGAGACACGGUCCAGACUCCUACGGGAGGCAGCAGUGGGGAAUAUUGGACAAUGGGCGCAAGCCCGAUCCAGCCAUACCGCGUGGGUGAAGAAGGCCUUCGGGUUGUAAAGCCCUUUUGUUGGGAAAGAAAAGCAGCAGGUUAAUACCCCGCUGUUCUGACGGUACCCAAAGAAUAAGCACCGGCUAACUUCGUG
Molecule: ribosomal RNA, 492 nt
Filed under: uncultured bacterium
Lineage: Bacteria
Description: partial 16S ribosomal RNA
Rfam family: Bacterial small subunit ribosomal RNA
Source: RNAcentral